GGGAGGCAGCAGUGGGGAAUCUUGCACAAUGGAGGAAACUCUGAUGCAGCGAUGCCGCGUGAGUGAAGAAGGCCCUUGGGUUGUAAAGCUCUUUCGUCGGGGAAGAAAAUGACUGUACCCGAAUAAGAAGGUCCGGCUAACUUCGUGCCAGCAGCCGCGGUAAUACGAAGGGACCUAGCGUAGUUCGGAAUUACUGGGCUUAAAGAGUUCGUAGGUGGUUGAAAAAGUUGGUGGUGAAAUCCCAGAGCUUAACUCUGGAACUGCCAUCAAAACUUUUCAGCUAGAGUAUGAUAGAGGAAAGCAGAAUUUCUAGUGUAGAGGUGAAAUUCGUAGAUAUUAGAAAGAAUACCAAUUGCGAAGGCAGCUUUCUGGAUCAUUACUGACACUGAGGAACGAAAGCAUGGGUAGCGAAGAGGAUUAGAUACCCUCGUAGUCCAUGCCGUAAACGAUGUGUGUUAGACGUUGGAAAUUUAUUUUCAGUGUCGCAGCGAAAGCGAUAAACACACCGCCUGGGGAGUACGACCGCAAGGUUAAAACUCAAAUGAAUUGACGGGGACCCGCACAAGUAGUGGAGCAUGUGGUUUAAUUCGAAGAUACGCGCAGAACCUUACCAACACUUGACAUGUUCGUCGCGACUCUAAGAGAUUAGAGUUUUCGGUUCGGCCGGACGAAACACAGGUGCUGCAUGGCUGUCGUCAGCUCGUGUCGUGAGAUGUUGGGUUAAGUCCCGCAACGAGCGCAACCCUCACUUUUAGUUGCCAUCAUUAAGUUGGGCACUCUGAAAGAACUGCCAGUGAUAAGCUGGAGGAAGGUGGGGAUGACGUCAAGUCCUCAUGGCCCUUACGUGUU
RNAcentral lists this ribosomal RNA (849 nucleotides) under marine metagenome. Its description in RNAcentral is "bacterial SSU rRNA". It matches the Rfam family "Bacterial small subunit ribosomal RNA", at positions 343 to 1210 of the family's 1533-position model. The record is from RNAcentral.